AGUGAACGCUGGCGGCAGGCCUAAUACAUGCAAGUCGAACGGCAGCACAGCAGAGCUUGCUCUGUGGGUGGCGAGUGGCGGACGGGUGAGGAAUACGUGGGAAUCUGCCCAGUCGUGGGGGAUAACGUAGGGAAACUUACGCUAAUACCGCAUGCGCCCUUCGGGGGAAAGCCGGGGACCUUCGGGCCUGGCGCGAUUGGAUGAGCCCACGUCGGAUUAGCUAGUUGGCGGGGUAAAGGCCCACCAAGGCGACGAUCCGUAGCUGGUCUGAGAGGAUGAUCAGCCACACUGGAAUUGAGACACGGUCCAGACUCCUACGGGAGGCAGCAGUAGGGAAUAUUGGACAAUGGGCGCAAGCCUGAUCCAGCCAUGCCGCGUGAGUGAAGAAGGCCCUCGGGUUGUAAAGCUCUUUUGUCCGGAAAGAAAAGCGCCGGGUUAAUACCCUGGUGUCCUGACGGUACCGGAAGAAUAAGCACCGGCUAACUUCGUG
RNAcentral lists this ribosomal RNA (490 nucleotides) under uncultured bacterium. RNAcentral describes it as "bacterial SSU rRNA". It matches the Rfam family "Bacterial small subunit ribosomal RNA", at positions 29 to 507 of the family's 1533-position model. The record is from RNAcentral.